This 523-nucleotide ribosomal RNA is filed under the name uncultured bacterium. RNAcentral's name for it is "partial 16S ribosomal RNA". It matches the Rfam family "Bacterial small subunit ribosomal RNA", at positions 355 to 870 of the family's 1533-position model. The record is from RNAcentral.
UGGGGAAUUUUGGACAAUGGGCGAAAGCCUGAUCCAGCAAUGCCGCGUGUGUGAAGAAGGCCUUCGGGUUGUAAAGCACUUUUGUCCGGAAAGAAAUCCUUGGCUCUAAUACAGUCGGGGGAUGACGGUACCGGAAGAAUAAGCACCGGCUAACUACGUGCCAGCAGCCGCGGUAAUACGUAGGGUGCAAGCGUUAAUCGGAAUUACUGGGCGUAAAGCGUGCGCAGGCGGUUUGCUAAGACCGAUGUGAAAUCCCCGGGCUCAACCUGGGAACUGCAUUGGUGACUGGCAGGCUAGAGUAUGGCAGAGGGGGGUAGAAUUCCACGUGUAGCAGUGAAAUGCGUAGAGAUGUGGAGGAAUACCGAUGGCGAAGGCAGCCCCCUGGGCCAAUACUGACGCUCAUGCACGAAAGCGUGGGGAGCAAACAGGAUUAGAUACCCUGGUAGUCCACGCCCUAAACGAUGUCAACUAGUUGUUGGGGAUUCAUUUCCUUAGUAACGUAGCUAACGCGUGAAGUUGCACC